AUUGAACGCUGGCGGCAGGCCUAACACAUGCAAGUCGAACGAGUGGGGGACGGGCGAGUAAUGACUGGGAACCUGCUCGACGGAGGGGGAUAACUACUGGAAACGGUAGCUAAUUACGCACAUCAGCGGAUGUGUCCAGAUGGGAUUAGCUAGGAGGUGGGGUAAGGGCUCACCUAGGCGACUAUCCCUAGCUGGUUUGAGAGGAUGACCAGCCACACUGGAACUGAGACACGGUCCAGACUCCUACGGGAGGCAGCAGUGGGGAAUAUUGCACAAUGGGCGCAAGCCUGAUGCAGCCAUGCCGCGUGUAUGAAGAAGGCCUUCGGGUUGUAAAGUACUUUCAGCGAGGAGGCGUUACUCGCAGAAGAAGCAUCGGCUAACUCCGUGCCAGCCGCCGCGGUAAUAC
RNAcentral lists this ribosomal RNA (406 nucleotides) under uncultured bacterium. RNAcentral describes it as "partial 16S ribosomal RNA". It matches the Rfam family "Bacterial small subunit ribosomal RNA", at positions 30 to 526 of the family's 1533-position model. The record is from RNAcentral.